Molecule: ribosomal RNA, 431 nt
Filed under: uncultured bacterium
Lineage: Bacteria
Description: bacterial SSU rRNA
Rfam family: Bacterial small subunit ribosomal RNA
Source: RNAcentral
AACGAACGCUGGCGGCAGGCCUAACACAUGCAAGUCGAGCGCCCCGCAAGGGGAGCGGCGGACGGGUGAGUAACGCGUGGGAACGUACCCCUUUCUACGGAAUAGCCUCGGGAAACUGGGAGUAAUACCGUAUAAGCCCUACGGGGGAAAGAUUUAUCGGGAAGGGAUCGGCCCGCGUUGGAUUAGGUAGUUGGUGGGGUAAUGGCCUACCAAGCCGACGAUCCAUAGCUGGUUUGAGAGGAUGAUCAGCCACACUGGGACUGAGACACGGCCCAGACUCCUACGGGAGGCAGCAGUGGGGAAUCUUAGACAAUGGGCGCAAGCCUGAUCUAGCCAUGCCGCGUGAGCGAUGAAGGCCUUAGGGUUGUAAAGCUCUUCCAGUGGGGAAGAUAAUGACUGUACCCACAGAAGAAGCCCCGGCUAACUCCGUG